GUGAGGUCACUCUGUAUCUUGCAAGUGAAUCAGCUUCCUUUGAGUUAACAGAGCAAGUUGCUUCAGAGGAAUACUCUGCCUUGUGAAGAUUAUACAACAAAGAUUUCUCUCACUUCUCCAAAUUCACAUGUUACUAAUGACAAAGAAAAAAAGAGGAAGAGAUGCAUUUCAUCCAUUAAUAAAGUAUACAUAUAUACCAAUGAGCACUUGUCUACAGAUCUUAUUGUAGCUACCUUUGUGCAUUGCAGAACUCCUUUCAGCUUGCUUUCUUCACAUGGGCAUGGGUGGGUAUAUCAUGAUCAAU
This 304-nucleotide long non-coding RNA is filed under the name Musa acuminata (dwarf banana). RNAcentral describes it as "long non-coding RNA (MACU_LNC006053)". Lineage: Eukaryota; Viridiplantae; Streptophyta; Magnoliopsida; Zingiberales; Musaceae. The record is from RNAcentral.